UAAAGUCCUGGCAACAUGUAUGCAGGGGAAAUGUCUCUUCCAAGAUUGUUUUUGGGAGAAUUGAUCAAUGACAUCCAGACCUGGAAAUCUCUACGUUGGUCGCACUUCCAAUACUGUGUUGAAUAAAAGUGUUAAGAGUGG
RNAcentral lists this long non-coding RNA (141 nucleotides) under Mustela putorius furo (domestic ferret). Its description in RNAcentral is "lncRNA (ENSMPUG00000023957.1)". Lineage: Eukaryota; Metazoa; Chordata; Mammalia; Carnivora; Mustelidae. The record is from RNAcentral.